This 617-nucleotide ribosomal RNA is filed under the name uncultured bacterium. RNAcentral describes it as "bacterial SSU rRNA". It matches the Rfam family "Bacterial small subunit ribosomal RNA", at positions 780 to 1398 of the family's 1533-position model. The record is from RNAcentral.
AGAUACCCUGGUAGUCCACGCCCUAAACGAUGUCAACUAGUUGUUGGGGGUUGAAAUCCCUGGUAACGCAGCUAACGCGUGAAGUUGACCGCCUGGGGAGUACGGCCGCAAGGUUAAAACUCAAAGGAAUUGACGGGGACCCGCACAAGCGGUGGAUGAUGUGGUUUAAUUCGAUGCAACGCGAAAAACCUUACCCACCUUUGACAUGUACGGAAGUCGCUAGAGAUAGCUUCGUGCUCGAAAGAGAGCCGUAACACAGGUGCUGCAUGGCUGUCGUCAGCUCGUGUCGUGAGAUGUUGGGUUAAGUCCCGCAACGAGCGCAACCCUUGUCAUUAGUUGCUACAUUCAGUUGGGCACUCUAGUGAGACUGCCGGUGACAAACCGGAGGAAGGUGGGGAUGACGUCAAGUCCUCAUGGCCCUUAUAGGUGGGGCUACACACGUCAUACAAUGGCUGGUACAAAGGGUUGCCAACCCGCGAGGGGGAGCUAAUCCCAUAAAACCAGUCGUAGUCCGGAUCGCAGUCUGCAACUCGACUGCGUGAAGUCGGAAUCGCUAGUAAUCGUGGAUCAGAAUGUCACGGUGAAUACGUUCCCGGGUCUUGCACUCACCGCCCGUC